This is a non-coding RNA of Cinara cedri, 241 nucleotides long. The record is from the annotation of a GenBank genome assembly. Lineage: Eukaryota; Metazoa; Arthropoda; Insecta; Hemiptera; Aphididae.
ACCAGCUUACCCAGCACCCGCCUACAAACCAGCCCCGUACAAGGCAUACUAAUCGCUGACACCUUCAUUCAGACUUUUCAUUACAAACCCCCGCAGUCGUUGAUAAGCUGAAAUUUCCGUUAUAGAAACAGUACAGCUCAUAUUCCAUUCCGACAACAUCGGAAUGAACAACGUUUAAUUUAUUGUUGGUUAAUUUAUAAAUAAAUUAUUAAUUCAACAUAUUAAAUAUUUUGAAUCGUGU